This 374-nucleotide ribosomal RNA is filed under the name uncultured bacterium. Its description in RNAcentral is "bacterial SSU rRNA". It matches the Rfam family "Bacterial small subunit ribosomal RNA", at positions 355 to 746 of the family's 1533-position model. The record is from RNAcentral.
UAGGGAAUAUUAGUAAUGGGCGAAAGCCUGAACUAGCAACGCCGCGUGUGCGAAGAAGGCCUUCGGGUUGUAAAGCACUUUUUGAGAGGAUGAGGAAGGACGGUACUCUCAGAAUAAGUCUCGGCUAACUACGUGCCAGCAGCCGCGGUAACACGUAGGAGGCGAACGUUAUCCGGAUUUACUGGGCGUAAAGCGCGUGUAGGUGGUUUGGUAAGUAGGGCGUGAAAGCUCCUGGCUCAACUGGGAGAGGCCGUUCUAAACUGCCGAACUAGAGGAUGGUAGAGGGAGGUGGAAUUACGGGUGUAGCGGUGGAAUGCGCAGAUAUCCGGAGGAACACCAGUGGAGAAAGCGGCCUCCUGGACCAUUCCUGACAC